RNAcentral lists this ribosomal RNA (586 nucleotides) under Stapeliopsis khamiesbergensis. RNAcentral's name for it is "bacterial SSU rRNA". The stretch from base 1 to 323 matches the Rfam family "Eukaryotic small subunit ribosomal RNA", at positions 1512 to 1831 of the family's 1831-position model. Lineage: Eukaryota; Viridiplantae; Streptophyta; Magnoliopsida; Gentianales; Apocynaceae. The record is from RNAcentral.
UCAACGAGUCUUUAUCCUUGGCCGACAGGCACGGGUAAUCUUUGAAAUUUCAUCGUGAUGGGGAUAGAUCAUUGCAAUUGUUGGUCUUCAACGAGGAAUUCCUAGUAAGCGCGAGUCAUCAGCUCGCGUUGACUACGUCCCUGCCCUUUGUACACACCGCCCGUCGCUCCUACCGAUUGAAUGAUCCGGUGAAGUGUUCGGAUCGCGUCGACGUGAGCGGUUCGCUGCCCGCGACGUCGCGAGAAGUCCACUGAACCUUAUCAUUUAGAGGAAGGAGAAGUCGUAACAAGGUUUCCGUAGGUGAACCUGCGGAAGGAUCAUUGUAGAAUCCCUAAAAACAAAAAUGACUUGAGAAUAUGUUCAAUAGCGUGCAUCGGGUGUGAGGGUAAAACCUCUUCGUCCGUUGCUCUUUGUCCGACCAAUCGUUGGUUGUGUUGGGCAGUUAAAAACAAAAAUCGGCACGGGAAGUGCCAAGGGCUUAUGAAAUGGGAUGCUUUAUCGUGGAAGGGGGACCGUUUGCGGUAUACCUUCAUCACGAUUCUCAAAAGGUCUCCGUAAAAAAAACCUUAUACGACUCUCGACAACG